UGGUCGGGUAAUCUACUAGCAUCUCUCUCACCGUAUAUAACCUCAAUUAUAGUAGCAGCUAUUCAAGCCCAAAGGCAUCUUUAUUCAAUAUUCCUCAACACACAUGCACCCAUACACACCCAUAAACCACACAAACCAUUUUCAUCCAUCUGUCCCUCAUACACUGUCCGCCAACUUCCCAGCACUCCCCUCACUCACUCCACCAUAGACCAUACCUCUCUGUUUGUCCCCUUCCCAAACAAACAGGUCUAUCCCCUAGCCCAUUCCAAACCCCCUGUGGCCGACACCUCAUCACAACAAGUUAUGUUUCUGUGUGUUAUUAUACGUGUUCACUCAGUCACAGUGUAGGUGGCCCACCGUCCAACCCCAACCACUUUCACUACCCUGGGUCUGUGCUGGCUAUAACCCCAACCUCCACCUCCCUCUCCCCCCCGCUGGCUGCUCGAUUGUGGGGCAGAGGAUUAUGCGAGGGGGAGGCUCGUAAAGGGCCUGCCAAGGUCUUUCUGGGCUGUGACGGAUGGAUGGGAGACUGAAGGCACCAUUAGCAUGAGAAGAGAGGAGGGAGAGAGGAGGGAGAGCGAGAAUAGAGGUGCAUUCAAUGGGCCUGUCAGAGAAGACUGAGGAACAACCCCGCCCUCCUUUCCAUUCCUCCACCUCCUUCGCCACCAAAACCCACCACCCUUCUCUUCUUUUCUUUAGCCAGACUUCUCUCUCUCCUCCAACUUUUCUAUCUCCUUUCUUCCUUCACUUCUUCAACUUAUUCCCUCCUUUCUUUCUGUCUGUCUUUCUUUCAUUCUUUCUCUGCCUCUCUCUAAUCUAUCUGUCUUUCUCUGCCCCUCUCUAAUCUAUCUUUCCUUCUCUGCCCCUCUCUAAUCUAUCUUUCUUUCCUUUUUUAACCCCCGUUUCUUAGUUGAUUUCGUCUCACUUAAUUUCUGUUCAUUCUCAUUUCCUUUCCAUUAAGCUCAAUGUUAUCGGGGUGAUUAACAUAGCAUUUGAAUCCUCAUUAUUUGGUCUGGUGCGAAUGACUCUGACAAUAAACUCUAAAGUAGGGUUUAGAUACACACUGCCCUGAGUGGGACUCAGUGGCCAUGAUGUCAUGCUAGGCUUCUCAAAUGCACAUUAAGUGACUGACACCCAAUUCUGUAAAGGGUGUCAGGGACAUACAUCCAAUUCUGUAAAGGGUGUCAGGGACAUACAUCCAAUUCGGUAAAGGGUGUCAGGGACAUCAACUUCGGUAAAGGGUGUUUGGGACACCAUAUUCGUUAAAGGGUGUCAGGGACAUCCACUUCAGUAAAGGGUGAUAGGGACCUCCACUUCAGUAAAGGGUGAUAGGGACCUCCACUUCAGUAAAGGGUGAUAGGGACCUCCACUUCAGUAAAGGGUGAUAGGGACCUCCACUUCAGUAAAGGGUGAUAGGGACCUCCACUUCAGUAAAGGGUGAUAGGGACCUCCACUUCAGUAAAGGGUGAUAGGGACCUCCACUUCAGUAAAGGGUGGCAGGGUGUUAUGAAUUAGAUUCUAGCUUAAUAUGAAUUAAUCAUUAACCUUUUUUCCAAGAUGGCGUAGCAGUCGGACGUGUGUUUGUCUUUGUCUUAUCCCGUUUUUUUUGUAUAUAUUUUAAUCUCACUUUCUAUCUACGAACUAAAUAUACUUUCAUGCAACCCGCCUCACCCAAUGUGGUACGGAUCUGCUAUUUGUAUUCCUUAUAACUGGAACCUCCAUCAAGAGCUAGCCAUCUAACUAGCUACUAGCUAUCAGUCUUUGUUAGCCACGGCUAGCGGUCUUCACCUUUAGCUCGGACACCAGCGAGCCUUAACUCGGACAAUACCUGCCAGUCUGCACAGCGCGAUAUCAACUCAGAGCAUAUCGGACUGCUUCUC
This 1880-nucleotide long non-coding RNA is filed under the name Salmo salar (Atlantic salmon). RNAcentral's name for it is "lncRNA (ENSSSAG00000107569.1)". The record is from RNAcentral. Lineage: Eukaryota; Metazoa; Chordata; Actinopteri; Salmoniformes; Salmonidae.